This is a long non-coding RNA of Alosa sapidissima (American shad), 100 nucleotides long. RefSeq lists it as uncharacterized. The transcript has 3 exons. NCBI's taxonomy places the organism in Eukaryota, Metazoa, Chordata, Actinopteri, Clupeiformes, Clupeidae. The record is from RefSeq and is a predicted model, not a curated record.
UAUUGUGCUCACAGCCAUGAACUUACAGUUUUGAGUUUUAUUCACUUGUCAUUUCCUUGAGUCUCAGACGCUCCCUGUAGAGAACUGGCUGGACUUGUUC